GCUGUGCGGGCUACCAUUCCCCACUCCUCCCCAGGGCUCCUCCUUCCCUCUGGGCCUGAGAGCUAUGCCCUGACCCCAGAGUGCUGGCGGGGGACCGCGGUCAUCCAAGCUCAGCGCGCCUCGUGACUUGGCCGCUGGGCACCUGGCAGCGAAUUUAUUUAUCUUCAGCUUCUUCGGUGUGGGCGCCUGGUGCUUACGAUUUCGCAUCGAUUGUGACCUGACACGAGCCUCCCGAGGUCAAGUAUGGUAUUCACCGAUUACAACCAAGUCCUGUGUAAUGGAGCUACAGCUAAGACUGAAUUCGUCUAGAAAGCAGAGUCAGGGCAGCCUGCUGGAAUAUUUUGAGAGGCCUGUAACCUUUGGCUGACACCCAGCAAGGCUAUUAGUUUAACCAUGGGAUGCACUACCAAACGCGUAAGAGUCAGGGAACUUCUUUUCUGGAAAGUUGAUUGUAGGAAUGGUUUGGUUAAAGAGCCCUCAGAAACAGAUGGAAUGGGUGAAAGGGGAAAAAAAGACAAGCAUAAAAAAACUUGACUUCCGUCGGUUGGCAUAAUUGCAGCUUCUAGUGUCUUUUCAACCAUAUGCUCAAGAUGGAAACUGCAGUUCACAUUUAAAUGUCACGCUGCCCUCUGUUCCAUAAACAUGUAUCAUCCACCACUAAAUAUUUAGAUCUGAAUUGUUGGAACUCAGUUCUGUGCCAGGGGUAGGGGGAUUAAUUCCUCUCAAGGUCCUCACAUGAUGGAUCUUCCGCUGAAGUAAACAUCCGAGAAGAGCUCACACUAAAGCCAUAAAAUAUAUAAAUAAAGUUUAAAGUUUAAUUAAGUCAA
Long non-coding RNA from Herpailurus yagouaroundi (jaguarundi), 827 nucleotides. RefSeq lists it as uncharacterized. Lineage: Eukaryota; Metazoa; Chordata; Mammalia; Carnivora; Felidae. The transcript has 3 exons. The record is from RefSeq and is a predicted model, not a curated record.